AUUGAACGCUGGCGGCAGGCCUAACACAUGCAAGUCGAACGGUAACAGGAAGCAGCUUGCUGCUUUGCUGACGAGUGGCGGACGGGUGAGUAAUGUCUGGGACACUGCCUGAUGGAGGGGGAUAACUACUGGAAACGGUAGCUAAUACCGCAUAACGUCGCAACACCAAAGUGGGGGACCUUAGGGCCUCUUGCCAUCGGAUGUGCCCAGAUGGGAUUAGCUAGUAGGUGGGGUAACGGCUCACCUAGGCGACGAUCCCUAGCUGGUCUGAGAGGAUGACCGGCCACACUGGAACUGAGACACGGUCCAGACUCCUACGGGAGGCAGCAGUAGGGAAUAUUGCGCAAUGGGCGAAAGCCUGAUGGAGCAAUGCCGCGUGUAUGAAGAAGGCCUUCGGGUUGUAAAGUACUUUCAGCGGGGAGGAAGGGAGUAAAGUUAAUACCUGUGCUCAUUGACGGUACCCGAAGAAGAAGCACCGGCUAACUCCGUG
This 490-nucleotide ribosomal RNA is filed under the name uncultured bacterium. Its description in RNAcentral is "partial 16S ribosomal RNA". It matches the Rfam family "Bacterial small subunit ribosomal RNA", at positions 30 to 507 of the family's 1533-position model. The record is from RNAcentral.